GGGUGAGGUUCAGUCUGGAUACUGUAGGGGCCAUGGCCCGGAACGGGUCGAACCUGUC
Molecule: non-coding RNA, 58 nt
Organism: Synechococcus sp. RS9917
Lineage: Bacteria; Bacillati; Cyanobacteriota; Cyanophyceae; Synechococcales; Synechococcaceae
Source: Rfam